GAUGAACGCUGGCGGCGUGCCUAAUACAUGCAAGUCGAGCGAACAGAUGAGGAGCUUGCUCCUCUGACGUUAGCGGCGGACGGGUGAGUAACACGUGGAUAACCUACCUAUAAGUCUGGGAUAACUUCGGGAAACCGGAGCUAAUACCGGAUAAUAUAUUGAACCGCCUGGUUCAAUAGUGAAAGACGGUUUUGCUGUCACUUAUAGAUGGAUCCGCGCCGCAUUAGCUAGUUGGUAAGGUAACGGCUUACCAAGGCAACGAUGCGUAGCCGUCCUGAGAGGGGGAUCGGCCACUCGGGAACUGAGACACGGGACAGACUCCUACGGGAGGCAGCAGUAGGGAAUCUGCCGCAAUGGGCGAAAGCUUGACGGAGCAACGCCGCGUGAGUGAAGAAGGUCUUCGGAUCGGAAAACUCUGUUAUUAGGGAAGAACAAAUGUGUAAGUAACGAUGCACGUCUUGACGGUACCUAAUCAGAAAGCCACGGCUAAAUACGUG
RNAcentral lists this ribosomal RNA (497 nucleotides) under uncultured bacterium. RNAcentral describes it as "partial 16S ribosomal RNA". It matches the Rfam family "Bacterial small subunit ribosomal RNA", at positions 28 to 507 of the family's 1533-position model. The record is from RNAcentral.